This is a non-coding RNA of Lentinula raphanica, 88 nucleotides long. NCBI's taxonomy places the organism in Eukaryota, Fungi, Basidiomycota, Agaricomycetes, Agaricales, Omphalotaceae. The record is from the annotation of a GenBank genome assembly.
UCCGAUAUGGUGUAGUGGUUAACAUUAUCGCCUCUCAUACGUGUUAGACAUGUCGCGAUAGCCCGGGGUUCGAUUCCCCGUGUCGGAA